This 386-nucleotide unclassified non-coding RNA is filed under the name uncultured Micrococcales bacterium. RNAcentral's name for it is "contains 16S-23S intergenic spacer region". The record is from RNAcentral. Lineage: Bacteria; Bacillati; Actinomycetota; Actinomycetes; Micrococcales.
UCCGAGUUGACCCCGGCGGUCUCCCACGAGUCCCCAUCACCCCGAAGGGCAUGCUGGCAACGUAGGACAAGGGUUGCGCUCGUUGCGGGACUUAACCCAACAUCUCACGACACGAGCUGACGACAACCAUGCACCACCUGUGUACGAGUGUCCAAAGAGAACCCCAUCUCUGGGGCUUUCUCGUACAUGUCAAGCCUUGGUAAGGUUCUUCGCGUUGCAUCGAAUUAAUCCGCAUGCUCCGCCGCUUGUGCGGGCCCCCGUCAAUUCCUUUGAGUUUUAGCCUUGCGGCCGUACUCCCCAGGCGGGGCACUUAAUGCGUUAGCUGCGGCACGGAACUCGUGGAAUGAGCCCCACACCUAGUGCCCAACGUUUACAGCGUGGACUAC